This is a non-coding RNA of Synechococcus sp. RCC307, 58 nucleotides long. The record is from Rfam. NCBI's taxonomy places the organism in Bacteria, Bacillati, Cyanobacteriota, Cyanophyceae, Synechococcales, Synechococcaceae.
UCACGUUGGCCCCGGCAAGGGGUGCAGUCAGACCCGCGCCAGGCAACGGGGACGCGGG